Long non-coding RNA from Chrysemys picta bellii (western painted turtle), 151 nucleotides. RefSeq lists it as uncharacterized. The record is from RefSeq and is a predicted model, not a curated record. NCBI's taxonomy places the organism in Eukaryota, Metazoa, Chordata, Testudines, Emydidae.
GCCCUGUAUUCUUAAAUCUCUAGGACUGACUGAGCAUUAGGUACCCACUUUGGAGAUGAUAGUACUACAGUCUACUGGCCUAACAUGACUACAACUUCUACAGCUUGCCCUCUUCAAAAUCAAACCUAUUGAAAAAAUAUACCACACAACG